RNAcentral lists this ribosomal RNA (468 nucleotides) under uncultured bacterium. RNAcentral's name for it is "partial 16S ribosomal RNA". It matches the Rfam family "Bacterial small subunit ribosomal RNA", at positions 28 to 507 of the family's 1533-position model. The record is from RNAcentral.
GACGAACGCUGGCGGCGUGCUUAACACAUGCAAGUCGAACGGAAAGGCCCUGCUUUUGUGGGGUGCUCGAGUGGCGAACGGGUGAGUAACACGUGAGUAACCUGCCCUUGACUUUGGGAUAACUUCAGGAAACUGGGGCUAAUACCGGAUAGGAGCUCCUGCUGCAUGGUGGGGGUUGGAAAGUUUCGGCGGUUGGGGAUGGACUCGCGGCUUAUCAGCUUGUUGGUGGGGUAGUGGCUUACCAAGGCUUUGACGGGUAGCCGGCCUGAGAGGGUGACCGGCCACAUUGGGACUGAGAUACGGCCCAGACUCCUACGGGAGGCAGCAGUGGGGAAUUUUGCACAAUGGGCGGGAGCCUGAUGCAGCAACGCCGCGUGCGGGAUGACGGCCUUCGGGUUGUAAACCGCUUUCGCCUGUGACGAAGCGUGAGUGACGGUAAUGGGUAAAGAAGCACCGGCUAACUACGUG